RNAcentral lists this long non-coding RNA (436 nucleotides) under Physcomitrium patens. Its description in RNAcentral is "long non-coding RNA (PPAT_LNC003921)". Lineage: Eukaryota; Viridiplantae; Streptophyta; Bryopsida; Funariales; Funariaceae. The record is from RNAcentral.
AUUUAGUUUAGGAUUAGGAUUUGAUUUAGGGUUUGGAUUAGGAUUUGGUGUAGGAUUUAGGGUUUGGUUAGGGUUUUAUUUAGGAUUUAGGGUUUAGAAUUUGGAUUAGGAUUUGAUUAGGAUUUGAUUUAGGAUUUAGGAUUUGCUUUAGGAUUUGGUUAGGAUUUGGUUUAGGAUUUUGUUGGGAUUUAGUUUAAGGUUUGUUUAGGGUUUGAUUUAGGAUUUAGGAUUUUAUUAGGAUUUAAGAUUUAAUUAGUUUUGGUCUAAAGUUUGAAUGAAGUUCAAUAGGAUUUUAACUAGAGUUAAAUUGAGAUUGAAUUGAGAUGUAUUUGAGUGAUAUUUGUGAUUCUUCUAAUAUUUCUUUAAGAAUUCUUAUUGUUUGUUUGAAAUUUCUUUGAGGUUUUUUUGAAUUUGAUUAAGCUUGCUUAGCAUUAAU